CUUCGCUUCGUGUCGCUGUUAACUUUUAUUUUCGUAAAUGAUUCUCCCCAGCUUCUUCUUGUUCCUCUACAAAAGCAGCAGCAUUAAAAAUAAUAAAAAGAAAAACAACAUAAAUGUUUGUUUGUAUGUGUGUUGAAACAUAAAAAAGAGUGUGUGUGUAUAUAUAUGUGGAUAUUUUCAACGAUUUUUAUGGCUGUAAGGAUUUCUACAACUACAAAAUUUGAACGUGGAAAAAUAGAAUAAAAUCUCAACGACAACUUUUAGCCAAUUAAAAUACUGUGAAUAAUUGAAAAUCAAUUAAAUAUUCAUUAGCUAAUAAAUUAAAACAAAAAUACAAAAGAAAAAAA
Long non-coding RNA from Calliphora vicina (urban bluebottle blowfly), 347 nucleotides. RefSeq lists it as uncharacterized. The record is from RefSeq and is a predicted model, not a curated record. The transcript is spliced from 2 exons. Lineage: Eukaryota; Metazoa; Arthropoda; Insecta; Diptera; Calliphoridae.